This 906-nucleotide long non-coding RNA is filed under the name Erythranthe guttata (spotted monkey flower). RNAcentral's name for it is "long non-coding RNA (EGUT_LNC002678)". The record is from RNAcentral. Lineage: Eukaryota; Viridiplantae; Streptophyta; Magnoliopsida; Lamiales; Phrymaceae.
CCUCUUCCAACCCUCUAUAAAUACACCCCUACAAUAGAUAUUAUUUAUUCACAAAUCAAUAAAGUUUAAUCAGAAAAAGAAAAAGAAAUAAAGAAAAAAUGAGUUACAUGAGCAGAUUGUGGAUGGCGACGAGUGUAGCAGUGGUGAACACCCACUCCGAUCAAGGCAAUAAGCUCAAAUCCGGUCUCAAAUCCAUCAACCACGGCAAAAAGCUCUUGUUUUCCGAUGCGGCGGACCUCCGGUCGUGCUCCGCCGUCGUGAAUUCCGAGCUCAAAGGGUUCGUCGGCGGCGUUGACCGGAGGAAGCAGGCCGAUGAGUCAGUCCGCCAAGUCAUGUAUUUGAAUUGCUGGGGCCAGGGCUAGGUUUUGGUUGUAAAUUCGAGCUGCCCGACGAGGGCUUUUACGUAAUUUCGGACUCGGUCGGAAGAGUUGAAUCGUCUUCGACUUUGGAAGUUUUGAAGGGGCUGGGACCGAGUUGACUCGGGUUGGUAUGGAAGGAAGAUGGAGCAGCAAGAGCUGAUUUGAUAAAUAUUGAUGCUGAAUUGGGAAAUAUUUGGAAGAUGGAGGGUUCGGAAAUAAAUUCUGUGAAAUUUUCUUUCUUUGAUUCCCCGGUAAACAGUUGGGGGCGAAGAAGUGUAUUUAUGGCUAGCGAAACUGUUUAUAUAUAUCAGAGAUUCAAGUUUGUUUUAUCACAUUUUCUUGCCUCAGUUCUUUAUUUUAUGUCUUCAAUUAAAAAAGGUAAUCUCCUGAUUUAUUUUAAUGUCGCUUAAUUAGAAUAAAUUAAUUAAAUAUAAUGACAAAAAAUUAGAAUAUCGAGAUGAUCAAGAUUAUGAACUAGCAAAUUAUGUAAAAAUCAAUUGAAGUGGUUUAAUCUAAAAUUUUAAUGUGACGAAUUAUGCGGAGUGCG